Long non-coding RNA from Parus major (Great Tit), 1655 nucleotides. The record is from Ensembl. NCBI's taxonomy places the organism in Eukaryota, Metazoa, Chordata, Aves, Passeriformes, Paridae.
CUCUUAAAAGGGCAAUGCCCUUAAAAGGGCAACAGAGCCCCUUAAAAGUGUGACCCGCAUGUGGCGCGGUCUCCACAUCAAAAAUAAAAUAAAAUGUUUAUAAAAUAAAAACAUUUUAAAAAUUCCCUAAAUAUAUUGAAUAUAAAUAUGGCCUUUCCUAAACAUACCUAAAAAUGUAGUGGUUAAAAUGCUCCUAAUAUAUUGAAUAGUACUAUAUUAAUAUAUUGAAUGUUAAUAUGUUAAUACCCUGUAUAUGGAUAUAAAACAAAUAUUAAAUAUUCCAUAAGACAUAAAAGUUAUUUCCCAUAUAUAUAUAUAUUUCUAUAUUUAAACAUACAAUUUUUAAAACAGUUAACAGGUAGGGAAGGGAUGGGAGAGCUUCUUUGACUGAUGUUAAAGAAUAAUUUUUUUGGUCUGGAGGGGACGUGAUGUUUUUUUGGUGCUCUGAUGGAAGAUGCAGAACACUCCACUGAAGUGGAGCCAUGAAAGAUGCUCCUGAGGAAAAUAAAAGCUGCUUGAAUCGCCUCUGGGCCACCCUCCCCCUUGGCACUGUAGCCCCAAGACUGAUCCAGGCUUUCCCAAAUUCCCCAUCCCCGUCAUGGCCUCCAUGGAAGCACCAGAAUCUUCCCUGUGCUUUCAAAUCUGUUUUUUUCUGCCAGGGAAACUGAGGCAGGGACACGUGGCAAUGCCCUGGGAGAAGCCAUCCUGCUCCCCAAACCCAUCCGUGCCUCGGAGGUGCCUGUUACCCACGAGAGGAUCUUUAUUUGAUAUUUAAUUGGUGGUUUUUCACAUGCAUAUUUAUACACCUGGGAGCCAGGGAAGAGCUCCCCUUGGAAAACCAGUCCAGCGGGGACUCCCCUCCCUGGGGAAACACCUCCUGCUUCCCACCCGCACUGUGGGCCGAGGUUUCUGCUGGAAAAAACCCCGUGUGCAGGGCUUGGAGCACCCUGAAAUGAGGAAUUCCCACUCGCUGGUGCCGCAGAAUGCGGGAUAGCGCGGGCACGCCGUGGCUGGAAGGAUACACGGGCAGGGCUGGGGGUCACAGUGUGUUUAUUGGGGGUUUUGGUGGGCACGGACACUCUGGGCACGCUGGGUCCUGCCUGGCAGCGGGGCUGUGGGCACAGGGAGCUGCUGGACAUGCACGGAGAGGGGCAGGAGCUGCUGGCCUGGAGCAUUGUGCUGUCCUCAGGGCAUCACAUCAGCAUCCGCCUCGGAGCAUCCGUUGUCCUCGGAGCUUCCAUCAUCAUCCUCAGCAUCCCAUCUGCAUCUGUCUCAGAGCAUCCUGGAGCAUCCUGGAGCAUCCUGGAGCAUCCCAUCAUCCUUGGGGCAUUCAUCAUCAUCCUCAGCAUCCCAUCUGCAUCUGCCUCGGAGCAUCCUGGAGCAUCCUGGAGCAUCCCAUCAUCCUUGGGGCAUCCAUCGUCAUCCUUAGCAUCCCAUCUGCAUCCACCUCAGAGCAUCCUGGAGCAUCCUGGAGCAUCCCAUCAUCCUUGGGGCAUCCCACCCCACCCACCUUGGCCAUCCCAUCCACUUUGGAGCAUCCCAAAGUCCCUCAGGGUCCUGGGAACCCCCCAUCCCUAUUGCCACAUCCCUGCCCGCCAUCCCCCCUCCUUUCCUGCCACCAGCUCCCAGCCCAUGGCUCGAGCAGACAAAGACCC